This 64-nucleotide transfer RNA is filed under the name Tapes dorsatus. RNAcentral's name for it is "tRNA-Glu". RNAcentral also lists the same sequence under 1 other name. The record is from RNAcentral. Lineage: Eukaryota; Metazoa; Mollusca; Bivalvia; Venerida; Veneridae.
UUUCUUAUGGUGUAAAUAAACACAUUAGUUUUUCACACUGAAGAUGAUUAAAUAUCUAAGGGGC